GACGAACGCUGGCGGCGUGCCUAAUACAUGCAAGUAGAACGCUGAAGGAGGAGCUUGCUCUUCUGGAUGAGUUGCGAACGGGUGAGUAACGCGUAGGUAACAUGCCUGGUAGCGGGGGAUAACUAUUGGAAACGAUAGCUAAUACCGCAUAACAGUAGAUGUUGCAUGACGUUUGCUUAUAAGGUGCAAUUUCAUCACUACCAGAUGGACCUGCGUUGUAUUAGCUAGUUGGUGGGGUAACGGCUCACCAAGGCGACGAUACAUAGCCGACCUGAGAGGGGGGUCGGCCACACUGGGACUGGGACAACGCCCCGACUCCUUCGGGGAGCAGCCAUAGGGGAUCUUCGGGAAUGGACGGAAGGCUGACCGGACAAAGCCGCGUGAGGGAAGAAAGGUUUCGGAUCGUAAAGCUCUGUUGAAAGAGAAGAACGAGUGUGGUAGUGGAAAGUGCACACUGUGACGGUAUCUUACCAGAAAGGGACGGCUAACUACGUG
Molecule: ribosomal RNA, 495 nt
Filed under: uncultured bacterium
Lineage: Bacteria
Description: partial 16S ribosomal RNA
Rfam family: Bacterial small subunit ribosomal RNA
Source: RNAcentral